This 678-nucleotide long non-coding RNA is filed under the name Arachis ipaensis. Its description in RNAcentral is "long non-coding RNA (AIPA_LNC002412)". Lineage: Eukaryota; Viridiplantae; Streptophyta; Magnoliopsida; Fabales; Fabaceae. The record is from RNAcentral.
UGAAGUAGAAACCCUAAGACCUUGAAGUUGAGCUGUUUCAUGAGCGGUGGACUUGAGGGAUUGGAGGGAUUUGGAGGAUGAAGCGACCAAGUCAUCAAUUUUGCGCAGUUGAAGAGGGAUCUCUGAGUCACAUAUUGAGCUCACCGACAAUUCCAUCCUCUUGUUUCUUCUCUCUUUUUACUCUUCCCCACGAAUGCUUUUCAGCAAGGCUGCGAGAAAUAAAAAAAAAUGACAUAAACUAUGCAUUGAAUAAUAAACCACUCCAAUUUCACAAAGUUACAAAAGUUUCCAAAUUCAAUUUCCAUCAUUCCCUCGAAAAGGUGGAAUGCAUCAAAAAAGCAGAACCGUGCAAUCUAAUAGCCAAUGAUAGUACAAGAUUCAAACUUUAACCAAUUCUAAGUUUCUAACAACAAGAAACCACACACAGACACGGAAGGACAAAAAUAAACUGAAGAAGCAGUGCUUACGGGCGGCGAGGGAGAAAUGGAGGUGACAGCGAGGAGAACACGGCCGAGCAGAGAGAGACACGUUCGCAGUGAACCGGUGAGACAGAGUGAGGUCGGAGAGAGAGAGAGAGAGAGAUCGAAGAGAGAGCGCGCGCUUAAAGAAAAUCAAACAAAGACGAGGAGAAUAGGCUCGAAGAGAGAGAGCGCGCUUAAAAACCAAGGUUGUGACUUG